This 235-nucleotide ribosomal RNA is filed under the name Clostridioides difficile. RNAcentral's name for it is "partial 23S ribosomal RNA". It matches the Rfam family "Bacterial large subunit ribosomal RNA", at positions 1125 to 1368 of the family's 2925-position model. The record is from RNAcentral. Lineage: Bacteria; Bacillati; Bacillota; Clostridia; Peptostreptococcales; Peptostreptococcaceae.
AAAGAGUGCGUAAUAGCUCACUGGUCGAGUGAUCCUGCGCCGAAGAUUUCCGGGGCUAAAACUUACUACCGAAGCUACGGCAUCAGUAAUGAUGGGGAGGGGAGCUUCCCAUACGGGUUGAAGCAUGACCGUAAGGACAUGUGGACAGUAUGGGAGUGAGAAUGUUGGCAUGAGUAGCGAGAUGUGGGUGAGAAUCCCACAGGCCGUAAACCCAAGGUUUCCAGGGGAAGGUUCG